AUGAAAAGUAAUGCCUUGGAUCUCCAGCAACACAACGCUGUCUGUCCUAAGGGCUUGUGAAGCUUUCAAACCUAUGAUCUAUUAGUAACAUAAAGCCUUUUAUAAUCAUGAUGUUGACAGCGUUUAGGGGCCUCGAUCUCUCUACUUCUGAGUCUUUUCAAUAGUGUGAUUGAAAACAAAAAUGUACAUUAUUAUUCUAUUUAAAAAAAGAAAAAAGAAAAGAAAAAAGACAAGUGUUCUGUAUGGACCUGUAUUUACCCAUCAGUUUCUGAUGUUCAAACACUGUGAUUAUUAUAAAUGUUGUUGGACAACAUGAGUUUAAGAAGAAAAAAGCUAGAAAAAUACAAAGUAAAAGACAGUUGGAGGAAACAUUAUGGUGGAUUGGUAAUACUUAGGCUGAACAAAAAUACAAAGUAAAAGACAGUUGGAGGAAACAUUAUGGUGGAUUGGUAAUACUUAGGCUGAACAAAAAUACAAAGUAAAAGACAGUUAGGAAACAUUAUGGUGGAUUGGUAAUACUUAGGCUGAACAAAAAUACAAAGUAAAAGACAGCUAUUUUCCUUAUCCAGUACUUAUCGAGGUCACUUUAACCUUUCUUCUCUUUGUACUUUCUUUAUAUUAGAUAAAUGUGAAUGUUAAAUGGACUCAAUUAACGUACUUGAAUAGUAACUUGGGGUUGAGUGCCAAAUAACACCCUAUCCCCUACAUGGUGUUCAACCUUUCACCAGGAGCCGAUAAGACCUCGAUCAGGGCCCAUGGGGCUCUGGUCAAAAGUAGUGCACUAUAUAGGGGAUAUGGUGCAAUGUAGGACUCACCCUUGGUCUUUUCCGUCUCCUUUCGCCCCCCCCAGUACUCCAGUGAGAGCUCUGCUAGAGUUUCUAGUGCCUUCCAUUAUUUAUUUUGCUUUUUUUUUAACCGUUUUUGACAUGAUGGAGUAACGGAAAUGCUGUUGAUUUCUGCUACAUUGAAGUGCUUUACUGGCUCUGUGGGUACAAAAGGCAAAGGUACACUGGGAAGGGGGGACGGGGGAAGGUGGGCUGUGGGGGUUUUGUUUCUUUGUGCCAUUUAUUGUUUUAGUAUUGGGGUUAAAUACAUUUUGAUUUGGGGGGCGGAAGACAAACUUAGUCCUAGACUCUGCAGAGAGUAGGAAUGGAUCUGAUGGUGAAGCUUGGACAAACUCUGUAUUUGGAACAGAGAAAGGAACGCAGACAACAGAACAACAGAGUGAGGCUGAACCAGGGUUACCUAACAUUUAAAAUAAAAGGUCUGUUAGGAACGGAAUGUUCCGUUUGUUCUAGUGUUCGGGGGACACGUUUCAGAUACUAGAACCAUUCAUUCAGUAUGCAAGAGCUCUCUAGCUAACACUGAGCCCAUCAUUAGACCCACUACAACAAUCAGACUAUCUUUACUGAUGGCCUGUCCACGAAGCCUUGUGUGUGUCCGACACCAGGCAGCACGGUAUACAAGCCUCGUGUUGGCGGUGAAAGAGAGGGGAGGAAGUGGGAGACUGAUAGGAAUAGAGAAGAGAAAGUCAGUCAGUGACAAACGGUAUUUGUGUGAAUGUCUCAAAAGAGUUAAAACCAGAUUGUGGUGUUUUAUAGUUUACUAACCAGGCAUAAUGUGUGUCUACUGUCAGUGGGGCAGUCUUAGGCUGUGUCCCCCAAAUGAUACCCUAUUCCCUAUAUAGUGCACUACUUUUGACCAGCGUCCUAUGGACCCUGGUCAAAAGUAGUGCACUGAAUAGGGAAUAGGGCGUCAUUUUGGACGUAGUCUUUACAGUAGUAGUUGUGACUGGGCCCUAUGCCAUUUAAGGUGGGUAAAGUGAAAGUGGAGUUGAGGUAGAAGCCAGGGCUAGUGGAGGCAGAAGAGGAGAGGUCAGGGGACUCUAUCUCCAACACAUGGCAGUAGUACUGUGCUGCUGGGUUGAGGUAGAAGCCAGGGCUAGUGGAGGCAGAAGAGGAGAGGUCAGGGGACUCUCUAUCUCCAACACAUGGCAGUAGUACUGUACACUGUGCUGCUGGGUUGAGGUAGAAGCCAGGGCUAGUGGAGGCAGAAGAGGAGAGGUCAGGGGACUCUCUAUCUCCAACACAUGGCAGUAGUACUGUACACUGUGCUGCUGGGUUGAGGUAGAAGCCAGGGCUAGUGGAGGCAGAAGAGGAGAGGUCAGGGGACUCUCUAUCUCCAACACAUGGCAGUAGUACUGUACGCUGUGCUGCUGGGUUGAGGUAGAAGCCAGGGCUAGUGGAGGCAGAAGAGGAGAGGUCAGGGGACUCUCUAUCUCCAACACAUGGCAGUAGUACUGUACGCUGUGCUGCUGGGUUUGACCAACAAGUGACUUCCUCAUCACCAAUGCUGGUGGUUCAAGCCCAGUUAUUUCAUCAUCUGCUUAAUGCUGCCCCAGUCUCUUUAAUGAAACCACCUGUGGCUUUUAGUGCAGGUUUGUAGCUUGUUCUAAAGUAGCAGACAGUCUCACCACUCACAAUGCAGACAAAUAAAUAGUUGGUUCCAUCAUUAUUAGAUUUAUUCGACAUGAAUGUUUUAGUUUUUUGGUUGAUGUCCUUCUGGUCUUUUUGGAAACCUUACAAAAUGUUGUAAUGAUAGAUGAACAGUGUCCGUGUCUUUCUCGUUACCUGACAGUGUUGUAGACAGUAAAACUGGUCCAAUCUGUGGACAACAGAAUAGUUCAUUAAGCCCCAUAUCCUUUUCAAAGCAACUGUACAAAACCAUUACCUGGGGUGAAACAUGUUUAAAACUGUAGAAAAGUGAUUUUUAAUACACACUCAUCACCUUAACUACUGAUUAGCUUACAGGGACUGCUAGAUCUAUCGCCUUCUGCUUAGCGCUUCAGUCGUCUCUCCUCACUGUAAACAUGUCUGCUACGGGAAAUCACUUGAAAACAGAUGGUAGAUUCUCAAUCAUUUGUCUUUACAGAGUGACUAUGUUGUAUCCUGGAUAUUUAAAACCGUUUAAAAACAGUUGGUUUUCUUUGUAAAACGUUUUGUGGAUUGAACUUUUGUUCUUACUGGAGGCCCUCAGUACAGCAGUACGGUACUUACUGGAGGCCCUCGGUACAGCAGUACAGUACUUACUGGAGGCCCUCAGUACAGCAGUACGGUACUUACUGGAGGCCCUCAGUACAGCAGUACGGUACUUACUGGAGGCCCUCAGUACAGCAGUACAGUACUUACUGGAGGCCCUCGGUACAGCAGUACAGUACUUACUGGAGGCCCUCGGUACAGCAGUACAGUACUUACUGGAGGCCCUCAGUACAGCAGUACAGUACUUACUGGAGGCCCUCAGUACAGCAGUACAGUACUUACUGGAGGCCCUCAGUACAGCAGUACAGUACUUACUGGAGGCCCU
Long non-coding RNA from Oncorhynchus tshawytscha (Chinook salmon), 3363 nucleotides. NCBI's taxonomy places the organism in Eukaryota, Metazoa, Chordata, Actinopteri, Salmoniformes, Salmonidae. The record is from Ensembl.